Molecule: ribosomal RNA, 442 nt
Filed under: uncultured bacterium
Lineage: Bacteria
Description: SSU rRNA
Rfam family: Bacterial small subunit ribosomal RNA
Source: RNAcentral
AGAGCGAACGCUGGCGGCAGGCCUAACACAUGCAAGUCGAGCGCCCCGCAAGGGGAGCGGCAGACGGGAGAGUAACACGUGGGAACGUACCCUUCAGUUCGGAACAACCCAGGGAAACUUGGGCUAAUACCGAAUACGUCCGUAAGGAGAAAGAUUUAUCGCUGAAGGAUCGGCCCGCGUCUGAUUAGCUUGUUGGUGAGGUAAUGGCUCACCAAGGCUACGAUCAGUAGCUGGUCUGAGAGGAUGAUCAGCCUCACUGGGACUGAGACACGGCCCAGACUCCUACGGGAGGCAGCAGUGGGGAAUAUUGGACAAUGGGCGCAAGCCUGAUCCAGCCAUGCCGCGUGGGUGAUGAAGGCCCUAGGGUUGUAAAGCCCUUUCGGCGGGGAAGAUAAUGACGGUACCCGCAGAAGAGCCCGGCUAACUUCGUGCCAGCAGCCGC